UACAGAGACUGCAAGCGUUAUUCGGAUUCACUGGGCGUAAAGGGUGCGCAGGCGGUUGGGUGUGUCAGAUGUGAAAUCCCUCGGCUCAACCAAGGAAGUGCAUCCGAAACUGCCGAGCUUGAGUACUUAAGAGGAUCGCGGAAUUCCCGGUGUAGAGGUGAAAUUCGUAGAUAUCGGGAGGAACACCAGUGGCGAAGGCGGCGAUCUGGGAAGAUACUGACGCUGAGGUGCGAAAGCGUGGGGAGCAAACAGG
This 253-nucleotide ribosomal RNA is filed under the name uncultured bacterium. RNAcentral's name for it is "partial 16S ribosomal RNA". It matches the Rfam family "Bacterial small subunit ribosomal RNA", at positions 524 to 776 of the family's 1533-position model. The record is from RNAcentral.